CAGUAGUCACGAGUUUGAUCUGGCUCAAGAACGAACGCUGGCGGCAUGCCUAACACAUGCAAGUCGAACGAGACCUUCGGGUCUAGUGGCGCACGGGUGCGUAACGCGUGGGAACCUGCCUUAGGUUCGGAAUAACUCAGAGAAAUUUGAGCUAAUACCAUAUAAUGUCUUCGGACCAAAGAUUUAUCGCCCUGAGAUAAGCCCGCGUAGGAUUAGCUAGUUGGUGGGGUAAAGGCUCACCAAGGCGACGAUCCUUAGCUGGUCUGAGAGGAUGAUCAGCCACACUGGGACUGAGACACGGCCCAGACUCCUACGGGAGGCAGCAGUGGGGAAUAUUGGACAAUGGGCGAAAGCCUGAUCCAGCAAUGCCGCGUGAGUGAUGAAGGCCUUCGGGUUGUAAAGCUCUUUUACUCGGGACGAUAAUGACGGUACCGAGAGAAUAAGCCCCGGCUAACUCCGUG
Molecule: ribosomal RNA, 461 nt
Filed under: uncultured bacterium
Lineage: Bacteria
Description: bacterial SSU rRNA
Rfam family: Bacterial small subunit ribosomal RNA
Source: RNAcentral